ACCCGCUGAAUUUAAGCAUAUUAUUAAGCGGAGGAAAAGAAACUAACCAGGAUUCCCUCAGUAACGGCGAGUGAAGCGGGAAGAGCCCAGCACCGAAUCCCCCGCCCGUGAGGGCGGAGGGACCUGUGGUGUUAGGGACGUCCUCCGUGCGCGGGCGCCUGCGCCCGAGUCCUCCUGAUAGGGGCUCCACCCAGGGCGGGUGUCAGGCCUCUACGGCGUGGGCCCCGCGCGCCACGGGCGUCCUCGGAGUCGGGUUGUUUGGGAAUGCAGCCCAAAGCGGGGGGUAAACUCCAUCUAAGGCUAAAUACUGCCUGA
Molecule: ribosomal RNA, 315 nt
Filed under: Terebellides stroemii
Lineage: Eukaryota; Metazoa; Annelida; Polychaeta; Terebellida; Trichobranchidae
Description: partial large subunit ribosomal RNA
Rfam family: Eukaryotic large subunit ribosomal RNA
Source: RNAcentral